This 61-nucleotide microRNA precursor is filed under the name Pristionchus pacificus. RNAcentral's name for it is "mir-8364 microRNA precursor family". It matches the Rfam family "mir-8364 microRNA precursor family". Lineage: Eukaryota; Metazoa; Nematoda; Chromadorea; Rhabditida; Neodiplogasteridae. The record is from Rfam by way of RNAcentral.
UCUUCAUUCUUCACACUAUCUAACCGGUCAGAGACGCAAGAGAGUGUGCGAAAUGAAGAGA